GAUGAACGCUGGCGGCGUGCCUAAUACAUGCAAGUCGAGCGAACAGAUAAGGAGCUUGCUCCUUUGACGUUAGCGGCGGACGGGUGAGUAACACGUGGGUAACCUACCUAUAAGACUGGAAUAACUCCGGGAAACCGGGGCUAAUGCCGGAUAACAUGUUGAACCGCAUGGUUCUACAGUGAAAGGCGGCUUUGCUGUCACUUAUAGAUGGACCCGCGCCGUAUUAGCUAGUUGGUGAGGUAACGGCUCACCAAGGCAACGAUACGUAGCCGACCUGAGAGGGUGAUCGGCCACACUGGAACUGAGCCACGGUCCAGACUCCUACGGGAGGCAGCAGUAGGGAAUCUUCCGCAAUGGGCGAAAGCCUGACGGAGCAACGCCGCGUGAGUGAUGAAGGUCUUCGGAUCGUAAAACUCUGUUAUUAGGGAAGAACAAAUGCGUAAGUAACUGUGCGCGUCUUGACGGUACCUAAUCAGAAAGCCACGGCUAACUACGUG
This 497-nucleotide ribosomal RNA is filed under the name uncultured bacterium. Its description in RNAcentral is "partial 16S ribosomal RNA". It matches the Rfam family "Bacterial small subunit ribosomal RNA", at positions 28 to 507 of the family's 1533-position model. The record is from RNAcentral.